This 450-nucleotide ribosomal RNA is filed under the name uncultured bacterium. Its description in RNAcentral is "partial 16S ribosomal RNA". It matches the Rfam family "Bacterial small subunit ribosomal RNA", at positions 354 to 796 of the family's 1533-position model. The record is from RNAcentral.
GUGGGGAAUAUUGGACAAUGGGCGAAAGCCUGAUCCAGCCAUGCCGCGUGUGUGAAGAAGGUCUUCGGAUUGUAAAGCACUUUAAGUUGGGAGGAAGGGCAGUAAGUUAAUACCUUGCUGUUUUGACGUUACCAACAGAAUAAGCACCGGCUAACUUCGUGCCAGCAGCCGCGGUAAUACGAAGGGUGCAAGCGUUAAUCGGAAUUACUGGGCGUAAAGCGCGCGUAGGUGGUUCAGCAAGUUGGAGGUGAAAUCCCCUGGCUCAACCUGGGAACUGCCUCCAAAACUACUGAGCUAGAGUACGGUAGAGGGUAGUGGAAUUUCCUGUGUAGCGGUGAAAUGCGUAGAUAUAGGAAGGAACACCAGUGGCGAAGGCGACUACCUGGACUGAUACUGACACUGAGGUGCGAAAGCGUGGGGAGCAAACAGGAUUAGAAACCCUUGUAGUCC